UAUCCCCUCUCAGGAUGAAAGUCAUAAUAUAUUUCGGAGCAAGGACCACAGGGACCGGUGGCUCCACUAGUCCAAAAGUUGUCAUCUUCACCCAAGCUCUUAAUUCGCUCAGCAGGGACACCAAUCUGCACAGAAAUGAAGAGCAUGUAGAGUUGAAGACAGGCAAUUUAGUUAGAAGUUAAUUAAAAAGGAAAUAAGAGGAUGUGCAAUUUAAUUAGCUAACCUGUUGAGACCAUAACUGAAAAGCCUCAUGAUCAUCUUUAUAAACACUAAUCCAUAAUCUCUCUGGCGGCAAAGCAAAC
Molecule: long non-coding RNA, 302 nt
Filed under: Cicer arietinum (chickpea)
Lineage: Eukaryota; Viridiplantae; Streptophyta; Magnoliopsida; Fabales; Fabaceae
Description: long non-coding RNA (CARI_LNC001536)
Source: RNAcentral